AACGAACGCUGGCGGCAUGCCUAACACAUGCAAGUCGAACGAGACCUUCGGGUCUAGUGGCGCACGGGUGCGUAACGCGUGGGAACCUGCCCUUAGGUUCGGGAUAACUCCCCGAAAGGGGUGCUAAUACCGGAUAAUGUCUUCGGACCAAAGAUUUAUCGCCUUUGGAUGGGCCCGCGUUGGAUUAGCUAGUUGGUAGGGUAAAAGCCUACCAAGGCGACGAUCCAUAGCUGGUCUGAGAGGAUGAUCAGCCACACUGGGACUGAGACACGGCCCAGACUCCUACGGGAGGCAGCAGUGGGGAAUAUUGGACAAGGGGCGAAAGCCUGAUCCAGCAAUGCCGCGUGAGUGAUGAAGGCCUUAGGGUUGUAAAGCUCUUUUACCCGGGAUGAUAAUGACAGUACCGGGAGAAUAAGCGCCGGCUAACUCCGUG
RNAcentral lists this ribosomal RNA (433 nucleotides) under uncultured bacterium. RNAcentral describes it as "partial 16S ribosomal RNA". It matches the Rfam family "Bacterial small subunit ribosomal RNA", at positions 29 to 507 of the family's 1533-position model. The record is from RNAcentral.